CCCUUUUUGUAAAUGUAUGGCACAUUCAGUAUUGCAACAUGAACACAUCAUCAAACACACUAACCUUGGAAUAAAUUACACCACUGACAGAGCACUGUAAAACACAUUUUGACAAGCUAACCUAAAAAUGCUUCAGGUAACAUCUAAACUAAUUGGUUUUAUUCACGUAGUCAUUACAAAUAUUACUUGCUAUGAAUGAAACAACCUGAUAAAAGUUAGUCAUUUAAAGGUUUAUAUUAUAGGGAGAAAAACGCACUUGAAAAGUUUUUGAAAUUUCACAUAUAAAAUGUCCCACCACCUGACAGAUAUUACUCUAAUAAGUGAUCUGAGAAAUCACACGUCUCUGUAAAAGUAGAAAACAGCAAAAGUAGUCAGAAUGACAGUAGUGGCAUUUUUUAGCUCAUCAAAAAACACUCUCUGCCUGUCAAUCAUUCUGCAUGUCAGAGUUUGCAGACUUUGGGGGCGGGGCUUUGCAAAGGGGGCGUCACUUAGGAAAAAAAGACACAGUUUAGUGAAAAACUGCAUUUUUACAUAAAACGUCAUAUUACCUGAUGGAUAUUUCUGAAAUAAGUGUGCUGAGACACCACACAAAUCUCUGUGAAAGUAGAGAAAACUUUCUUAGAUCUCAAAUAUAAUGACAUUAAUGGCAUUUUUAUCCAAUCAGAAACACUCUCUGGCCAUCAAUCGUUUUGCAUGUUGCUGACCUGCCUUUGGAGGGUGCAGUUUUGCAAAGAGGAUCCGCCUUCAGAGAUACUGUCAGCAAUACUGAUCUCACAUCACAGCACAGCAGACGCCCUCCCACUACACAGCUAUCUGACUGAUCUGAGAGCAGCUGGCGCUGAAGAAAAAGGCACAGGAUGAUGACUGCGGCUGAGGCCGAGGUCUUGUGAAGAUGAAGAGUGGAUAGACACACCUGUUUAAAGAGUUCAGCUUUUGAACCUUCACGCUUCAGAUGUUACAAAACGCAAGCAAACUUCGCUGUGGCCCAUUUUGUGAUGUGGUUCUCACACUGUUGUAAGGUCCAGGCACUCGGUCCAAGGAAGGUAUCCGGUGCUGGCUGAAGGUUUCUUGCGCGUUCGGUCUUUUCAGCGUGUAGAGUUAUUCAAUUUAAAUCCAAUUCUAAUCUGACUCCAUUUUAAUAUUUCAUCUGACUCCAUUUUAAUAAUUCAUCUGACUCCAUUUUAGUAUGACCUCGAAUUUAGGUUGAAAGGCAAAUUGGUUGAUUGUCUGUCUCUAAUUAUUAUUAUUAUUAUUCUGACAUUGGAUUAUUCUAGUUAACUCUUUACUUUAUAUUUACUUGUUCAUUAGGAAUCUAUGUCGCUCAGGGUGCCCCACGACGGCCGUUCUUCUACGUGUGCCCCACGAUCACAAACUCGCCAGUCUAAACAGUAGUCAGAGGUUAUGACUAAUACUAUUUAAUAGGUUACCCAUACUUACCAUAUUUGAAAUAGUAUUUUCGUUUAGUCCCCCUCAGUUACCCAUGUACAACUUAGUUAAAGCUCACCACAAUAAUCAGCGGUUAUGCUAGCACUAUCUGUCUAGCCCCCCCGACAGUCAUAUAACUACGUACAACUUAAUUAAAGCUGAGACAAUAAUCAGAGGUUAUGCUAGCACUACCUGUCUAGCCCCCCGACAGUUAUAUAACUGCGUACAACUUAAUUAAAGCUGAGACAAUAACCAGCGGUUAUGACCAGUGCUCUGACUAGCCCCCCAUAGUUACUGCAACUGAGUACAACUUAACUAAAGUCAAGCGGUUAGCCAGAAAUCUAAAACCUCACCUGAUGUGCCCCAUGCUCCAUCGCCUGAGUUUUAGUAUGCACUUAACCCUGGACGCAGAUUUGCGGAAACAUAGCCUUCACUUAAUCUACUUGAGGAAACAAUUUCAGAGUAACUCAGAGUAAAUCAAAUGUAACAAUUUAUUAUCAGUCAGGUAAGUAUUAUGCCAAUUACAUAGCCAAUUCAGAGAUAUCAAAUCAAUACAAGACAUCAAAUUCUCAAAGGUGAAUCUAAGAGUAAAAAGAUGCAUACCUGACUUUUAGAAAAAAAUACAUAAGUAUGAAGUGUGUGGACACACUUCAUGCUAAGGGCUCAUUCUGGCUACAGAAGGCCCUGAUCCUUUUGCUGCAAUCGUUUAAAUACCCCAGACCAAGACAAACAUCCCCCGAGAUGGAGACAGUAACAAACAAUAGGAAUUUGCAUUAACUCAGGUCCCAAGCCUGGGUGGUUUUACAACUCAAUGGGAACAGGAGGUAAUUUACAUGGAGGACCCUGGGAAGGGGCACUCCCAUUACAGUAGGCAAAAUAUCUCUUAACUCUUAGGAUCUGUAUUAUCUUUUAAUCUACUUUUGUAAGAUUGAGACCAUUGUACUAGUUGCACUGAGACAUUUCAAAUGAUACCAGACAUGACUGUUAGUUCACUUGCAUUGACAUUUUCAUGUAAUCAUUUUGAGCAGAUUGAGUAGAAGGAAG
Molecule: long non-coding RNA, 2469 nt
Organism: Cyprinus carpio carpio
Lineage: Eukaryota; Metazoa; Chordata; Actinopteri; Cypriniformes; Cyprinidae
Source: Ensembl